Arvicanthis niloticus (Nile rat) is the source of this 72-nucleotide non-coding RNA. The record is from RefSeq and is a predicted model, not a curated record. NCBI's taxonomy places the organism in Eukaryota, Metazoa, Chordata, Mammalia, Rodentia, Muridae.
CAGAGGCAGGGUAGGCAGAUCUCUUAGUUGUGAGGGCAGCCUGAUCUGCAUAGUGAGUUUUAAGACAGUGCU